GGUUUAUCAGUGGAGGUUUCUGUAUGUCUAAUUGGUACCACUGUUCAUUAGUGGUUUUUGAAUAGGAAGAGACUUGACAAAUUCAUGUUGAUUGGCUGCUGGAUAAGCUGCAUAUUCGAGACACCUGCUAGUUUUGCUGAGAUUUAGAGGAAUGGAUCAGAUUUGCCCCUCUACAACAAUAACAAUUUAUCCAGUAUAAUCCCAUAUUUGCCACUCUGUUGAUAAACAUAAUAUAUAUUGAAGAUUUGUUAUACUUAUAAUCUACCUCUGAUU
This 273-nucleotide unclassified non-coding RNA is filed under the name Hevea brasiliensis (rubber tree). The record is from RNAcentral. Lineage: Eukaryota; Viridiplantae; Streptophyta; Magnoliopsida; Malpighiales; Euphorbiaceae.